Molecule: ribosomal RNA, 481 nt
Filed under: uncultured bacterium
Lineage: Bacteria
Description: bacterial SSU rRNA
Rfam family: Bacterial small subunit ribosomal RNA
Source: RNAcentral
AUUGAACGCUGGCGGCAUGCCUUACACAUGCAAGUCGAACGGCAGCGGACCUUCGGGUGCCGGCGAGUGGCGAACGGGUGAGUAAUAUAUCGGAACGUACCUUUCAGUGGGGGAUAACGUAGCGAAAGUUACGCUAAUACCGCAUAUUCUGUGAGCAGGAAAGCAGGGGAUCGCAAGACCUUGCGCUGAUUGAGCGGCCGAUAUCAGAUUAGCUAGUUGGUGAGGUAAAGGCUCACCAAGGCGACGAUCUGUAGCGGGUCUGAGAGGAUGAUCCGCCACACUGGAACUGAGACACGGUCCAGACUCCUACGGGAGGCAGCAGUGGGGAAUUUUGGACAAUGGGCGCAAGCCUGAUCCAGCCAUGCCGCGUGAGUGAAGAAGGCCUCGGUUGUAAGUACUCUUCGGUCCGGGACGGAAAGUACGCACAGGUUAAUACCCUGUCGUGGAUGACGGUACCGGAAGUAAGAAGACACCGGCUAAC